GGGGCUGAUUCUGGAUUCGACGGGAUUUGCGAAACCCAAGGUGCAUGCCGAGGGGCGGUUGGCCUCGUAAAAAGCCGCAAAAAAUAGUCGCAAACGACGAAAACUACGCUUUAGCAGCUUAAUAACCUGCUUAGAGCCCUCUCUCCCUAGCCUCCGCUCUUAGGACGGGGAUCAAGAGAGGUCAAACCCAAAAGAGAUCGCGUGGAAGCCCUGCCUGGGGUUGAAGCGUUCAAACUUAAUCAGGCUAGUUUGUUAGUGGCGUGUCCGUCCGCAGCUGGCAAGCGAAUGUAAAGACUGACUAAGCAUGUAGUACCGAGGAUGUAGGAAUUUCGGACGCGGGUUCAACUCCCGCCAGCUCCACCA
Molecule: transfer-messenger RNA, 363 nt
Filed under: Escherichia coli
Lineage: Bacteria; Pseudomonadati; Pseudomonadota; Gammaproteobacteria; Enterobacterales; Enterobacteriaceae
Rfam family: transfer-messenger RNA
About the family: Bacterial tmRNA, also known as 10Sa RNA or SsrA, is named for its dual tRNA and mRNA-like properties.
Source: RNAcentral